AUUGAACGCUGGCGGCAGGCCUAACACAUGCAAGUCGAACGGUAACAGGAAGCAGCUUGCUGCUUUGCUGACGAGUGGCGGACGGGUGAGUAAUGUCUGGGAAACUGCCCGAUGGAGGGGGAUAACUACUGGAAACGGUAGCUAAUACCGCAUAACGUCGCAAGACCAAAGAGGGGGACCUUAGGGCCUCUUGCCAUCGGAUGUGCCCAGAUGGGAUUAGCUAGUAGGUGGGGUAACGGCUCACCUAGGCGACGAUCCCUAGCUGGUCUGAGAGGAUGACCAGCCACACUGGAACUGAGACACGGUCCAGACUCCUACGGGAGGCAGCAGUGGGGAAUAUUGCACAAUGGGCGCAAGCCUGAUGCAGCAUGCCGCGUGUAUGAAGAAGGCCUUCGGGUUGUAAAGUACUUUCAGCGGGGAGGAAGGGAGUAAAGUUAAUACCUUUGCUCAUUGACGUUACCCGCAGAAGAAGCACCGGCUAACUCCGUG
Molecule: ribosomal RNA, 489 nt
Filed under: uncultured bacterium
Lineage: Bacteria
Description: partial 16S ribosomal RNA
Rfam family: Bacterial small subunit ribosomal RNA
Source: RNAcentral